This is a long non-coding RNA of Myodes glareolus (Bank vole), 861 nucleotides long. RefSeq lists it as uncharacterized. Lineage: Eukaryota; Metazoa; Chordata; Mammalia; Rodentia; Cricetidae. The record is from RefSeq and is a predicted model, not a curated record.
CUUCAUGAAGCUCAUCUCAGGACAUUUCAAGACAAUGAGACUCAUAUGCUCCUGGAAGCACCAGUCUACUUCAAGAGGAAUAUGGACAUUGAAGAGGCUCUUGAUGACUUGGUUAGCCUUUUGGUUAAGAAACUGUUCUUGCCUGGACUGCUUGAUGAACUAAACAUGCAGGACCCACGGAGAAAUGACCGCUAAACUUGCUUAAAGGAACUACAAUGUCAAAGUAACAUAAAAAGAUUAAUACAGUUACAUAAGAAUGGUAUAAGAAAAACAUAUGAGCUUGUACAUUAUCCAAUGCAAAACUGAGGACAGAAGCCUAUGAUUAUAAAUUAUAGCUAACAGUACACUGUGGAGAAAACUUUACAUAUAAAAGACACUGAGAUCUGUUCAUCCUUUCAUUAUUUAAGUAUGAGGUACUGCCAUCUCUGCAUAUGUUUCUGUGUUCCAUAAGAAAGCAGGCUGAAAAAGACAAGAUGAGGAAGCGACUAAGGAACAUUUCUCUAUGGCCUCUGCAUCAGCUCCUGUCUCCUGGCUCCUGCCCUGUUUGAGUUCUUUCUCUGACUUCCUUCAGUGAUGAACAGUUAUAUUGAAUUGCCUUCUGUGCUAGACUGGGACUGUGAUGAUCCAGCCUUACAGACUGAGAAGAAGCUGAACUCACUAGCGAAGCUUCACCAGCAUGAAGACAGCCAAUUUGUGCCACUAUAAGAAAUGUUCUUUGUAAUAAGUAAAGCCAAAAUGCUGCUGCCAAGAGAAAAUGAAUAGCGUCUUUGAGAUAUCCACAAACAUCGGGUGUGGAUGAGGAAGCUUACUCUGAAAGACAGAGUUUUGUCUAUUUGCUGGAUUAAAACUGUUCUCAACAAA